GAUGAACGCUGGCGGCGUGCCUAAUACAUGCAAGUCGAGCGAACAGACGAGGAGCUUGCUCCUCUGACGUUAGCGGCGGACGGGUGAGUAACACGUGGAUAACCUACCUAUAAGACUGGGAUAACUUCGGGAAACCGGAGCUAAUACCGGAUAACAUGUUGAACCGCAUGGUUCAACAGUGAAAGACGGUUUUGCUGUCACUUAUAGAUGGAUCUGCGCCGCAUUAGCUAGUUGGUAGGGUAACGGCUUACCAAGGCAACGAUGCGUAGCCGACCUGAGAGGGGGAUAGCCGACCUGGGAGCGGGAACGCGGUCCAGACGCCUGCGGGAGGCAGCAGAAGGGAAUCUUACGCAGUAGGCGAAAGCCUGACAGAGCAACGCCGAGUGAGAGAAAAAGGUCUUCGGAGCGGAAAACUCUGUUAUUAGGGAAGAACAAAUGUGUAAGUAAAUAUGCACGUAGUGACGGUACCUGAUCAGAAAGCCACGGCUAACUACGUG
RNAcentral lists this ribosomal RNA (497 nucleotides) under uncultured bacterium. RNAcentral describes it as "partial 16S ribosomal RNA". It matches the Rfam family "Bacterial small subunit ribosomal RNA", at positions 28 to 507 of the family's 1533-position model. The record is from RNAcentral.